CUCGUAGGUGGCUUUGUAAGUCGGAGGUGAAAUCCCACGGCUCAACCGUGGACACGCCUUCGAAACUGUGAAGCUUGAGGCUGGGAGAGGAAAUCGGAAUUCCUGGUGUAGCGGUGAAAUGCGUAGAUAUCAGGAGGAACACCGGUGGCGAAGGCGGCUACCUGGACAGAAACUGACGCUGAGGCGCGAAAGCUAGGGGAGCAAACA
RNAcentral lists this ribosomal RNA (207 nucleotides) under uncultured bacterium. Its description in RNAcentral is "partial 16S ribosomal RNA". It matches the Rfam family "Bacterial small subunit ribosomal RNA", at positions 568 to 774 of the family's 1533-position model. The record is from RNAcentral.